GGAGAAAAAAACCUGUCAAACAAAAUUCUGUAUGUGGCCAAACUAUUCCUCAAAAAUGAGGGAGAAAUUUAAAAAAAAAAAAAAAAUGAGGGAGAAAUUAAGAUGUCCUCAGAUUUUAAAGAAACAGAAAACCAAAGGAGGUCUUUGCAAGUACACCUGCCCUAAUGAGAAAUGAAUGCUAAAGGGAGUUCUUUAGGCUGAAAUGAAAGGAUACUAGACAGUAACUUGAAAUCAUAUGAAGAAAUAAAGCACUCUGAGCCUGAAUCUAGAGAAUCUAAAAUGCCGUGCAUCCUAAGAAGCAUGUAAUGGUCCGGAGGUGGAUGAGUCUUUUCAUGCACAGUUGCUCCAGUACAGCUCCUCCAGGACAAUUCCCCUGUUUCCGAAGACCUGUGAACUCUAAAAGCGAGUUACCUGCUCCUCCCACAUCCCCCCACCACACACGCAAUUCAGGACAGGGAGACUGGCUGAGGGUAACUGCUAUAGACCUUCCCACUCAAAAAGAAAGGGAAGUAAGGCACACAAAAAUCUCAUAAAUGUCGCAAAUUUGAAAUCCAGCCAAGACCAUGCUGCCAGUUUCUUGAUAUGGGUUCAAGCUUAUGGCCUGUGAAUGAUUCUGGACGGCUCUUGGAUCCACCUUUAAGGUUUUUGAUCCUACUGUCUGAAUUCUCAUUUCUUUUCCAUUAGAAAUAGCAGAAUGGCUUUCUCUCCAUAUCUUGCCCAUACUAGUCGAAUGGUCCAAUAGGCUCUUUUUAUUUUGUUCUGCCUCUGUCCCUCUUAGUCCAAGCUGGCAAUGUUUCUGUCAAUGUAUUUUCUUAAAUUUUUUGCAGGUUUUCUAUGAGUAUUAAUAGUAUUCAUUCCACUACAGAAACAUUAAACUGAGACAUAUUAAAAUGCUGAAGAGUUUCUUUGAGCAAACCUCGAUUUGAAUCAACCAAUGGAAGCCCCUACGGAAAGGUUAGGAGGGCCCCACUGACAGGAGCUAGGGGCAAGAUUUUUAUAUAGAAGAUGUGGAAGCAAAGCAAACAAAUUAUUUUAUUGAUUACAGCUUAAGCAGUCACCUUAUUUGAGAAAGCCUAGUUGGCUGGGAUUGGUUGUUCUUAAUUUUCACUUUCUUGGAUUUGAGACAUUGACUCUGGCUUGUGUUUCUGUUCGGCUAUGUAGGCUAGCAAUGCAUUAGAGCCUCCUGAGUCUAAGGCCCUCCUUGUUUAAUUAUAACUUUAACACUAUCUUUGGCUCCCCGUAAGGUUGGAGGAGAAAGUCCUCAGAAUUUUUAGAGGCUCUAUUAUUUAAAGAAGAGGAUCAGUGUUUAGAGGGACUGUUGUCUGUUUGAAGUACCAUAACAAGUAUUUCUGUGGUCAUAACAGAGGGUGGUAUAGUCGAACUCUUACUGUCUUCUUUAGACUAUAUUUUCCUGACAAUGCCUUAAAUUUGAUCUCAGCUCAGAAAAUAUUUUUAACUUUUUAGAAUCUUUUGCUAACUGUAGACUGUGUGGAUGACAAAUGGCUUUAUUGUCAAACCCUGAAAGUUCUGGGCCCCUUAUGCUAAAAAAAAAAAAUUGUUUUCUUUAUCCUUUCUCUCUUCUUUCAUGUUUUACUAUGAGCAACCAGGAAAAGCCAGAUGACACUUUAACACUCUGUCUGGAAUGUUCUUAAGUAGAUCAUCAGGUUCAUUUUUCCUAUUUUUCAUGUUAACAAAGGUGACGGGAUCGUUAAAGUUUCCAUCUUCCAAUAACAUUUUUCUCACCUUCCUUUCAUCUCCCACCAACAUCCUCCUAAAAUGCCACCAAGCUUCCACCAACAGACUCUGAGGCUUUUUAGGCUCUCACUUACACUCUCCUCGAUGUCCUUCCAGUUUCUCCCACCACCUGGGCCUAAGCCAUUCUCACCUGCUCUAAGAGUUUUACUAUACCAGGAGUAGCACCACUGCUGGUACCCAAAUCUGUUCCAGGUUAGAAUGUGCUUCUCUUACACUGUAGAACUGUUACCUGAGUUUGUUUAAAAUAACGGAUUGGAGCUACCAUGUUAGUAUUGCAAGAAAAUGUCUCUGUACUAUGUUGGCCUCUAAAAAAAGGAACAACCAUUUCACAGGUGAAGAGGCUUAACUUACUUUCCUGAAGAUAAAAAUCUCUUCAAAUCACUGGUCCAACAUAAUCUUGAAAAUACUCUCUGCUAGAACCUAGAGGAUUUGCAUAGACAUAAGUUCUGAAAGCUGGAAGUCUGAGAUCAAGGUGCCAGCAUGGCUGGGUUCUGACAAGAACCAUCUUCCUGGCUUGUGCAUGGCUGCCUUCUCACUGUGUGCUCACAUGGACUCUCCCCCGUGGGUGUCUGGAGAGACAGAGAGAGAGCAAACUCUCCGAUGUCUCUUCUUGCGUGGACACUAAUUGCAUCAGAUCAGAGCUCCACCCAUACAACCUCGCUGAACCUUAAUCACCUCCGUAAAAGCCCUCUCUCUAAUAUAGUCAGAUGAGGGAGAGGUCAGAGCUUCAACAUAGGAAUUUUCUAGGCAGACAAUUCAGUCCAUAGCAAGUAAUCGUCCUACUAUGCGUCACGGAAAGACUGAGAUCACUGAGAAAUCAUCCUGGGUGUCCCUUUGGAGCAGUUCCAUAAUUAGUGACCCCAUUCUAUUACUUCAACAAAUAGUUUCUAUUCCAGGUACUGUUUAGGGGCCAAGUAUAAAUCAUGAACAAAGGAGAACUAACUGUUGCUCUCUUAUAUUUGGUAUGAUACAUACUUAUAAAGAAAAAUUUCCUGAUACGAAAAGAUUGUAGAAUGAGGAAAGUCUUCUCUGAGAAUAUUUAAGUUGAGACUUAGGAUGGAUGGAAAGAUGCUCACAAUGCCUGCUGGACAUCUCAGCAAAUCAGAGGACCAACAAGUUUCUGAGCCAGAGCUUGUGGCUGUGCAGUCUGCAGGAGGGCAACCAGGAGCAGGAGAAGGUGGAGCCGUGCUGGCAGGCAGUCUUCCAACUGCAUGUCGACCUGGAGCUGCCGGCAAGUGUUUGUUUACUGGUGUCUGCUAUGCUCCUGGAGCCCCCUUGCAUGGCAGUCAGGAAUUUUUGGAGGACGCACACACUCAAUCUACAGCAGCUAUCUGUUUGAAACUUCAUCUAACCUAUAUAGGAAAGAAAUACUGAAUUUGAUACAGUUUAGAUUUCCUUAUUUUGGAGAAUGACUUCAUAAUCUUAGAGUAAAUGAUAAACAUCAAACUUUCAGCUGUUGAAGCCAUAUAAUCGUGUGAAAAAAAACUGAAGAAGUGCCAGAGCCUUAUAGCGUUUGCCCAUGGCCCUGAAAUAAAGCAGUUAUAAAAAUAUAUAUAUAGGGGCUGGCCCCGUGGCCGAGUGGUUAAGUUCGCGUGCUCCGCUGCAGGCGGCCCAGUGUUUCGUUGGUUCGAAUCCUGGGCGCGGACAUGGCACUGCUCAUCAGACCACGCUGAGGCAGCGUCCCACAUGCCACAACUAAAAGGACCCACAACGAAGAAUAUACAACUAUGUACUGGGGGGCUUUGGGGAGAAAAAGGAAAAAAA
This is a long non-coding RNA of Equus caballus (horse), 3519 nucleotides long. NCBI's taxonomy places the organism in Eukaryota, Metazoa, Chordata, Mammalia, Perissodactyla, Equidae. The record is from Ensembl.